This 483-nucleotide ribosomal RNA is filed under the name uncultured bacterium. RNAcentral's name for it is "bacterial SSU rRNA". It matches the Rfam family "Bacterial small subunit ribosomal RNA", at positions 41 to 518 of the family's 1533-position model. The record is from RNAcentral.
GACAGGCCUAACACAUGCAAGUCAGGGGCAGCACAAGGAGCAAUCUGAGGUGGCGACCGGCGCACGGGUGAGUAACACGUAUGCAACCUGCCUGUAAGCGGGGAAUAACCCGUUGAAAGACGGACUAAUACCGCAUAAUACUAAAUUACUGCAUGGUAAUUUAUUUAAACAUUUAUGGCUUACAGAUGGGCAUGCGCAUGAUUAGCUAGUUGGAGAGGUAACGGCUCCCCAAGGCAACGAUCAUUAGGGGUUCUGAGAGGAAGGUCCCCCCACACUGGUACUGAGACACGGACCAGACUCCUACGGGAGGCAGCAGUGAGGAAUAUUGGUCAAUGGACGAGAGUCUGAACCAGCCAAGUCGCGUGCAGGAAGAAUUGUCCUAUGGAUUGUAAACUGCUUUUGCAGGGGAAUAAAGUGCAUCACGUGUGAUGUUUUGUAUGUACUCUGCGAAUAAGGAUCGGCUAACUCCGUGCCAGCCGCCGC